This 253-nucleotide ribosomal RNA is filed under the name uncultured bacterium. Its description in RNAcentral is "partial 16S ribosomal RNA". It matches the Rfam family "Bacterial small subunit ribosomal RNA", at positions 524 to 776 of the family's 1533-position model. The record is from RNAcentral.
UACGAAGGGGGCUAGCGUUGCUCGGAAUCACUGGGCGUAAAGCGCACGUAGGCGGAUCUUUAAGUCAGGGGUGAAAUCCUGGAGCUCAACUCCAGAACUGCCUUUGAUACUGGGGAUCUCGAGUCCGGAAGAGGUGAGUGGAACUCCGAGUGUAGAGGUGAAAUUCGUAGAUAUUCGGAAGAACACCAGUGGCGAAGGCGGGUCUCUGGGCCGUAACUGACGCUGAGGAGCGAAAGCGUGGGGAGCGAACAGG